CCCAAUUUUUUGUCUGGUCACUAGUCCUAGUCCUAGUCAUUGAGCACAAAAGAUAUCAGGUGUCCCGCUUGGGUACUUGGAAAUGCACGAGACGACGUCGACGUAGCAAGCAUGUGAAUGAACCUUGUUCUCAGAGUGCGAGCGAGUCGUCGUCGAUGGUUGUCUUUGAUUGUGUCACGUGUGUGUGCUGUAACGACACCAAUCACAU
Molecule: unclassified non-coding RNA, 208 nt
Filed under: uncultured Kappamyces
Lineage: Eukaryota; Fungi; Chytridiomycota; Chytridiomycetes; Rhizophydiales; Kappamycetaceae
Description: sequence contains ITS2
Source: RNAcentral